This 459-nucleotide ribosomal RNA is filed under the name uncultured bacterium. RNAcentral's name for it is "partial 16S ribosomal RNA". It matches the Rfam family "Bacterial small subunit ribosomal RNA", at positions 338 to 795 of the family's 1533-position model. The record is from RNAcentral.
CCUACGGGUGGCAGCAGUGAGGAAUAUUGGUCAAUGGCCGGAAGGCUGAACCAGCCAAGCCGCGUGAAGGACGAAGGUGCCAAGCAUUGUAAACUUCUUUUGUCAAGGGACAAAAUCAGGCUCGAGAGCCUGACCGAGGGUACUUGAAGAAAAAGCAUCGGCUAACUCCGUGCCAGCAGCCGCGGUAAUACGGAGGAUGCGAGCGUUAUCCGGAUUUAUUGGGUUUAAGGGGUGCGUAGGCGGGCUGUUAAGUCCGCGGUAAAAGCCCGGGGCUCAACCCCGGCGAGCCGUUGAAACUGGGUGUCUUGAGAGGUGGAGAGGGAUGCGGAAUGCGUGGUGUAGCGGUGAAAUGCUUAGAUAUCGCGCAGAACUCCGAUGGCGAAGGCAGCAUACCGGCGGGGAACUGACGCUGAGGCACGAAAGCGUGGGUAUCGAACAGGAUUAGAUACCCUUGUAGUC